AAGACUAUACUUUCAGGGGUCAUUUCUAUAGUUCAUUACUAGAGAAGUUUCUCUGACUGUGUAGAGCACCCGAAAACACGGAGGACGAGACAUAGCAUCCCCUCCUGAGCGUGAAGACGGCUCUAGGAGCUGCUACAUUGAAGCUGUCUCUUGCCAUUGAUGAUCAUUCUUCUCUCUUUCGGAAGGGUGAGAGGAAGGGAACGCACAAAAAGA
This is a small nucleolar RNA of Mastomys coucha (southern multimammate mouse), 213 nucleotides long. RefSeq annotates it as small nucleolar RNA U3. Lineage: Eukaryota; Metazoa; Chordata; Mammalia; Rodentia; Muridae. The transcript has a single exon. The record is from RefSeq and is a predicted model, not a curated record.